GUAGGGAAUAUUGCGCAAUGGACGAAAGUCUGACGCAGCGACGCCGCGUGAGUGAUGAAGGCCUUAGGGUCGUAAAGCUCUGUUGAAUGGGAAGAAAAAAAUGACGGUACCAUUCGAGGAAGGACCGGCUAACUUCGUGCCAGCAGCCGCGGUAAUACGAGGGGUCCUAGCGUUGUUCGGAAUCAUUGGGCGUAAAGGGUGUGUAGGUGGCCAUGUAAGUCAGGUGUGAAAGCCCCGGGCUCAACCCGGGAAGUGCACUUGAUACUGCGUGGCUUGAGUACCGAAGAGGGUAGUGGAAUUCCAGGUGUAGUGGUGAAAUACGUAGAUAUCUGGAGGAACACCGGUGGCGAAGGCGGCUACCUGGUCGAGUACCGACACUGAGACACGAAAGCAUGGGGAUCAAACAGGAUUAGAUACCCGUGUAGUCC
This 428-nucleotide ribosomal RNA is filed under the name uncultured bacterium. RNAcentral describes it as "partial 16S ribosomal RNA". It matches the Rfam family "Bacterial small subunit ribosomal RNA", at positions 354 to 796 of the family's 1533-position model. The record is from RNAcentral.